Molecule: ribosomal RNA, 416 nt
Filed under: Actinomycetes bacterium
Lineage: Bacteria; Bacillati; Actinomycetota; Actinomycetes
Description: bacterial SSU rRNA
Rfam family: Bacterial small subunit ribosomal RNA
Source: RNAcentral
UUCACGGAGAGUUUGAUCCUGGCUCAGGACGAACGCUGGCGGCGCGCUUAACACAUGCAAGUCGAGCGAGAACCAGGCCUUCGGGCCUGGGGACAGCGGCGAACGGGUGAGUAACACGUGGGUAAUCAACCCUUGGUACCGGGAUAGCCCGGGGAAACCCGGAUUAAUACCGGAUGGCCCUUUGGAUCUUCGGAUCUGACGGAAAAGGUAGCUUCGGCCUCCGACCGAGGACGAGCCCGCGGCGGAUUAGCUUGUUGGUGGGGUAACGGCCUACCAAGGCGGCGAUCCGUAGCUGGUCUGAGAGGACGAUCAGCCACACUGGGACUGAGACACGGCCCAGACUCCUACGGGAGGCAGCAGUGGGGAAUCUUGCGCUAAUGCGGGAAACCGUGACGCAGCGACGCCGCGUGAGGGAA